UUUGAAUAUUUAACCAGCUUUGCAUCCCUGGAAUAAACUCUGCUAGGUCAUGGUAUAGAAUUCUUUUUACAUACUACUAAAUUCUAUUUGCUAACAUUUUUGUCACCGAGUUUUGCAUCUAUCUUCAUGAGGGAUACUGAUCUGUAGUUUUGCUUUUUUUGUACUGUGUGAGUCUGGUCUUGAUAGUGGGCUAACACUAACUUCACAAAAUGAAUUGGGAACUAUUUUCUCAUCUCUGGAUGAAACUGUGUAGAAUUGGUGUCAAUACUUUAAAUAUUUGGUAGAAUUCGCCAACGAAAUAGUUGGGCCAGUGUCUUCUCUCUUUCCCUCCAACUCUCCUCCAACAUCUUACUUUCUCAAGUCCUUUCACCAUUGGCAAGGUCUGCUGUCUAUAAUAAAUUCCUUAUUCCAUAAUACUCAUAGUAUCUGCCUCUAUGAUUAAGUCCCAACUUUCUUAAGCCAUUUGCUAUUAAACUGAAAUAAUAAAUAUAGUUUAUUUUGACCAAGCACUUUAAACUUUUUUUUUUGCCUUUUAGGGCCGCACCCAUGGCAUAUGGAGGUUCCCAGGCUAGGGGUCCACUUGGAACUGUAGCUGUUGACCUACGCCAGAGCCAUGUCUGCAACCUACACCACAGUUCACGGCAACGCCAGAUCCUUAACCCACUGAGUGAGGCCAGGGAUCAAACCUGGGUCCUCAUGGAUGCUAGAAGAUAUGUUAAAGAAGUUAAGUAAGCUGUAAAAAAACAGAGUAAGGAUCAGAGGCAGGAUGGAAAUCAAACUCUCAGCCAUGAUACUCUCCCGAAGUUCUUGCUCUUUCUUGGCAUCUCAUUUCUCUUUCAGAAGACCGGGAGUGUGCUGCUAAUGGAAAACAUCUAUUUGAGUCUGAGUUAUGUCCAUCAUGUCCAGUAUAACCCGUGCAUUCAAUUUUGCUAGCUUUCUCUUUAUACCCACAUCUUUCCCUUUUUCUUCUUUUCUCUGCCCAUUGAGGAGUUUUUGCCCCUGAAUUUUUUUCUCCAUCUAAAUGCCCCCUUUCCUCCCUAUUGCCUUUUAUAUACUGGGAAAGUAGGCGACACUAACUGAUACAUCCACUUCCAGGUCUGCUAGGCCGCACAGAAGUAAAGCAGAGGCAGAAGAACAAGGACGAUACUGGCUGGGGAGGUGGCAGGAUGGCUGGGACGGCGUGCUUCAUAGAAGGUGUGUCCAUUAGAGUAGGAACCAGUGGGGAUGUGUCAGGCCAGCAGCCAUAAACGUGCUUAAAAACCAGCAGAAAAUGGUGAAGAGUUACUCUGAGAAACUGCUUCUCUGGUUUUGGCUUUUUUUUUUUUUUUCUCACUCUGGGGUCAGUCCGUUCAUUUAUUAAAAUGUCUACCAUGUCUUAAGAAACAGCACCAAUGCACUAAAAUAAGCAACAUUUCUGAUGCAGAAAUGAACAUUUAAGCAGAUGCAGCCCAGAUCCAUCUCAUUCUGUGUGUGUGUGUGCACAUGUGUGUGUGCUUGUGUGUGUGUAUUUAUUCUUUUCCCUGAGUGCCUUUGGUUGGUAAAAGCCAUCAAAUAUCAUCGGGAAUUAUCACUAGUUUUUUGAACAGCCCUGAAGAAUUAAAGGGAGAGAGUAAGAGAGAAGGAAUAAGAGGAAGAGAAAGAAAAAGAGAGAAAGAGAGAGAGAGAGGUUAAGCUCAAAGGCACAGAGAGCGAAAUGGACCAGAUUAUACAAAAUUAAAAAGCAAAUACGGGCAGACAAUUUGUGCCGAGUGAUUGCAAGCAAUUACAGUCCGGCUUUUCUGGAGGGAAGAUGGGGGAGGGGGUUAUUUCAGCUUAAAAGGAGACUUUAUUCAUUCCUGAUCAGCUUCUCCUACCAUUCUCUCUUUUAUUCUUGGAUAUCAAUUUAAAAAAAAAAAAUCAGCUUUCAGAUGUUCCAUGUCCACCCCUGCAAAUCCACUCCUGGGCAGACAGUGAGAGUUUAAGCUUCCCAUCGGUUCUUUCUAUAGCCCUGAAAACCAAUUUGUUCAUAAAGAAUAAAAUAAGGGGGGGGGGAGGGUGGAAAACACAACAAGAGCAUGUGUUUCUUUUAGAGGAGAGCUUCAAUUUUACUAUAAUUGUCUAAAGACAGAGCUGCUUUGAUCUGAAGAAUUAUUAUUGUGCCUCAAAUGCCGGCUGCUAAUGUCACAGCUGUGCUGGGGCUUGGUCACGCCGAGGGGCUUGGGGACCAACUUAGUCCCUGACCUGCCUCUGGGUCCCUCUUUCCUUAUCUUUCCUUUGUCCACAAGGGAAAGUUUGUUUCCUGGUAUGUCCAUGGCUCUGUUGGUUUUAUCCAGGGUCCUGGGGAGGCGGGAGCCUAGCAGGGGUGACAUAAUGAGGGGCCACUGAGGUUGGGCAGGAGGGAGCAGGCAGAGCUGGAUGUAAACAUGCCCAGGACAGGUGAUAUGGUCACUAAACCAGAGAACCUGGCUGCUCUUGGUCUCCCAGUGCAGGAAAGAGCAGCGCGGAAGAGGGCCCCCUUGCCUUCCAGAAACCCAGAGAAAAUUCACUGCCUUUCCCAGAUUUCAAUUCCCCGUUAUUUUCCCUCUUUCCAGCUUAGGCUGCACUGAAGCAAAGAGCAGCUCAAGAGUAGAGUUAAACAAUUUUCUUUUAGAAGAAAAUGGGCGGAAAAAACUAUAUCUAGGGUCUGAGAGCCGAGCCAUCUUUGGCUCAUGUUUUCCUUCCCAAAGCCGAAAGAGAGAACCAGAGGGCUUGUUCUCCCAAAUUGCUCCCUGGGUGGGCUGGGCAAGAAGGAUAGGCCCUUGGCUGCUGGAAUUGCCCUGUCUGCUCCUCACCUCUGCCAAGGGCCUCUGAGGCCUCUGGUGGGUCAAGUAUUCCUUCUCUGGCUUCCCACUGCCUACAGUGCCAUCUAGACUUCCUAGCCUGGCACUUGAGGCUAUGCAGGUAAGCUGCCCACAAACCUUCCUGCAGCCCCAUCCUGCUCUGCCACCUCAAGUGAUGGCACCUCACCUCUGUUUCAGAUGCUCUGGCAAAUUCUCGCUGCUGGGCCUUUGCUUAUGCCUUUCCACCUGCCUGGAAUAUGACCUCUCCCUUCUCACCCCUCUCCUGAAUCCUCACCCCUUCUUGGCUCCCCUUCAAGCCCAAAGUGCCAAUGAGACAGAUGGGUAAGAAAAUUACCAUCAGUGGACCGGGAAACACAAUUUUGGAGACACAGAUGCCAAACUGGGCUGCAUUCUAGCCCAGGGAGCCUGUGACACUAAAGAGAGGACAGACGUGGAGGGAGAACCUCAGCCCCAGCCUCCAAGCUGGGGUUUCUCAUGCUGGUAGAAUGGAGAGAUUUCUUUCAAAGAAAAUGCAGUAAAACAUAAGAAUGUUUGUGAGUGCUUAGGUUCUGAAGAUUCAGUUGGAGAAACACUGGCUUGAGAAACAAACAAAACCUCAGCAACAUGAAAAUAUAAACAUCACUGUAGCUCUACAAAGGAAGAGAUGCAAAUUCCCCACAAAAACCAUUCCUUCCAACCGCGUUUCCUUGAAACAAAAACUACUUCUGGAAGACUUUUAUUAGCUGUGCAAGUAUGGGCCACUUACUUCUCUGAGCCUUGGUUUCCUCAUCCAUAAAAGGAAGAGAAGUGAGAGUACCUACCUCAAAGUGUUACCAGAGGAUAAAAUGAGGUAACACACGUGGCGAAGCGCUUACGUCAUCCCUGGCACCUGGUCAAUUCUCAACCCGCGGCAGCUGUUAUCCAACAGAUCCUGUUGGUUUCUGGGAAAUCCAAGGGCCUCAUCCUCAGUUCCUCACUCCUCCUUUAGCUCCAGGAUAUCUGACAUCCUGGGGCUUAUAGGGAGUGGGCAUAAGGAUGCUUAGGAGACUGAGGCUUUGAGGAAGGCUGAGUUGCAGCCCCAGGAAGCACAAGGAGGCACAGAGAAAAACGUGAAGUUUGAGUAAAGGCAGCAGCGGGGGGCGAGGGGUGAACUGGUUUUCCAGGGUGAUGUGGGUAGGAAGUGACAGGUACAGAAUACCUGGAGAGACGCCUUAAGGGUGAGGGAGUCUUCACUGCAGAGCUGGAGGAAGAUCUAGUUCAAGAGAAGAAUGGAAAAGGUUCUGGUUAAAGAGAAAUGAUCUCCACACCUCAGUAAACCUUGAGGUAAGAAGCAGGAGUCAGGCAAGGAGGGAGAGACACGAAAGUAUAGAGAGCUCAAGGAAAUCUAGAGAACCAUUUAGGGGCAACGUUGAGAAUAGAGGGUGAGGAGGCAGUACGUCUCCAGAAGAACAACACAGCUUGGUUGACUUUGCUAUCAACUUCCAUUAACUGCCCAGUAACUUUGGUGCUAGAAGAGGAGUGAGGAAGCCCAUGCAGAUUUGUACACCAUCUAUAAAUGGUGGCCCUGAACCUCCUGCUCUCCUUCCUUGCAGGGAAAGGGGCUUGAACAGAAACAGAGAAGAAGUUGUAAAAAUGAACAGAAUUUUGGCAGCAGAGAAGUAUUCAAUAGAAAGGGCACUAAUGGCUGCAACUUACUUUGACAUCAAUCAUAAAAAAUAAAAGGAUAGACUGAUGGAUGAGCAGAAGGAAGAAGAGAUGGACAGACUGUGAUAAAGCAAAUAGGUUCCAAUGUUAAUAGCUGAAUGUAGAUGGUAAGUGUAUGGGUGUUUGCUGCAAAAUUUUUUUCAGUUUUCCAUGUCUUAGCGAAUUUUCUUUUUUCUUUCUUUCUUUCUUCUUUCUUUCUUUUCUUUACUUUUUUUUUUUUUUUUUGGUUUUUUUAGGGCUGCACCUAUGGCAUAUGGAAGUUCCUAGGCUAGGGGCUGAACUAGAGAUACAGCUUCUGGCCUAUGCCACAGCCACAGCAACAUUGGGUCUGAGUCAUAUCUGUGACCUACACCACAGCUCACGAAUACUAGUCAGAUUCGUUACCCCUGACCCACAAUGGGAACUCCAAUUUUUACUUUUUUAGAAAAUUUUUAUAAUAAAAAAUUAGAAAAAAUUAGGCAAUAGUGUCCAAAAUAACCCAUACCCUGAUGGCCCCAAGACAAGUUGUCCCUAGAGAGAAGUUGGCAGAUUGGUGAGAGGGUAGAUUUUCCUCAACUUUCCUCCCUUGUCUUUGAGCCCCCUGGUGCUGUCCACACACCUCUCCUGAGGCUGGACAACCUGCUAAGAAUGUUGCUUGUAAAGAUUUAAGCUAUGAGCCCACCCUGUGGAAUCUGUAUUUUAUCCAAUCUCUCCUGAUGAGUGAUACAAGUUGACAAAUAAAUAAAUCUUCAGAAGUGGAAUCUGGCCAAUGGAGAAGAAGCUUUAGAUGAUACAUGAGUUGGGACUAGGGAUGGUUGCAAGCGCCAGGCCAAAACAAGGGUCACUUAAACAAAAUGAAGUUUGUUUCAUGCUCACACAAACAAAGUCCAAAUGGAAGGUGCCCAAGACUCUCUACCUCAAGCAUCUCGAGAACC
Molecule: long non-coding RNA, 5416 nt
Filed under: Sus scrofa (pig)
Lineage: Eukaryota; Metazoa; Chordata; Mammalia; Artiodactyla; Suidae
Description: lncRNA (ENSSSCG00030068063.1)
Source: RNAcentral